RNAcentral lists this unclassified non-coding RNA (195 nucleotides) under plant metagenome. Its description in RNAcentral is "partial contains small subunit ribosomal RNA, internal transcribed spacer 1, and 5.8S ribosomal RNA". The record is from RNAcentral.
UCUCCGUUGGUGAACCAGCGGAGGGAUCAUUACCGAGUUUACAACUCACAAACCCCUGUGAACAUACCAUUUGUUGCCUCGGCGGUGCCUGCUUCGGCAGCCCGCCAGAGGACCCAAACCCUUGAUUUUAUACAGUAUCUUCUGAGUAAAUGAUUAAAUAAAUCAAAACUUUCAACAACGGAUCUCUUGGUUCUG